Molecule: ribosomal RNA, 503 nt
Filed under: uncultured bacterium
Lineage: Bacteria
Description: partial 16S ribosomal RNA
Rfam family: Bacterial small subunit ribosomal RNA
Source: RNAcentral
GAUGAACGCUAGCGGCAGGCCUAACACAUGCAAGUCGAGGGGUAGCAGGAUUAAGCUUGCUUAAUUGCUGACGACCGGCGCACGGGUGCGUAACGCGUAUGCAACCUACCUUAUACUGGGGUAUAGCCCGGAGAAAUUCGGAUUAAUCCCCCAUAGUACUAAUGAAUCGCAUGGUUUAUUAGUUAAAGCAUUGCGGUAUAAGAUGGGCAUGCGUCCUAUUAGCUAGAUGGUGAGGUAACGGCUCACCAUGGCUACGAUAGGUAGGGGGCCAGAGAGGGGGGUCCCCCACACUGGUACUGAGACACGGACCAGACUCCUACGGGAGGCAGCAGUGAGGAAUAUUGGUCAAUGGGCGCAAGCCUGAACCAGCCAUGCCGCGUGCAGGAAGAAUGCCCUAUGGGUUGUAAACUGCUUUUAUUUGGGAAUAAACCUCUUUACGUGUAGAGAGCUGAAGGUACCAAAUGAAUAAGCACCGGCUAACUCCGUGCCAGCCGCCGCGGUAA